RNAcentral lists this ribosomal RNA (543 nucleotides) under Streptomyces sp. 303A10. RNAcentral's name for it is "bacterial SSU rRNA". It matches the Rfam family "Bacterial small subunit ribosomal RNA", at positions 93 to 650 of the family's 1533-position model. The record is from RNAcentral. Lineage: Bacteria; Bacillati; Actinomycetota; Actinomycetes; Kitasatosporales; Streptomycetaceae.
UAGUGGCGAACGGGUGAGUAACACGUGGGCAAUCUGCCCUUCACUCUGGGACAAGCCCUGGAAACGGGGUCUAAUACCGGAUACCACUCCUGCCCGCAUGGGUGGGGGUUGAAAGCUCCGGCGGUGAAGGAUGAGCCCGCGGCCUAUCAGCUUGUUGGUGGGGUAAUGGCCCACCAAGGCGACGACGGGUAGCCGGCCUGAGAGGGCGACCGGCCACACUGGGACUGAGACACGGCCCAGACUCCUACGGGAGGCAGCAGUGGGGAAUAUUGCACAAUGGGCGAAAGCCUGAUGCAGCGACGCCGCGUGAGGGAUGACGGCCUUCGGGUUGUAAACCUCUUUCAGCAGGGAAGAAGCGAAAGUGACGGUACCUGCAGAAGAAGCGCCGGCUAACUACGUGCCAGCAGCCGCGGUAAUACGUAGGGCGCAAGCGUUGUCCGGAAUUAUUGGGCGUAAAGAGCUCGUAGGCGGCUUGUCACGUCGGAUGUGAAAGCCCGAGGCUUAACCUCGGGUCUGCAUUCGAUACGGGCUAGCUAGAGUGUG